CUCACUUCUUGCAGAAAUGGCACCGCCUCCGAGGUUCCUGUUGCCUCCAAGCUGUUGAGUGCCUGGAAAAGAAUCGGGACCCCCACCCAAGUUCGUGCCUGGACUUCUCCGGGGCCCGGCUGCAGAUCCUCUUCUCCGGAGCCUGCGAAGAAGAAGAAGGCCUGCCUGGAAGCUCUGCGGCCAGAGGCUGGCGGAUGAGCCCGUGGAAGCAUUGCCCAGCGCCCUCUGAGCUCGCUGCCCCACGCCCUAAGGCGGACAGAGUGGGGGUGCUGGUGGGGGCUGAGAAUCUCCCCUCCUUCCGGGGGAACACGAGGAGUUGGGAGGUCAGCAGAACGGCCAAAAUCCUCUUGCCAGACAGUUCAUGUCCUGAGAAGUGGAUUCUUGUGGAAAAGGAGGCGGCUGAGAUAAGCAAGCUCCAUCUCGCGGCCAGGAGGAAGCUGGGGAGAACCACUGGCUCUCAGAAUCAAGCCCACUGGCUCUUAGGAUCGUGCAAAGACAAGGAGACAAAGAAGCAGCUGCGGAAAGCGGAAAACAAGCUGCUGUGUGGUCCUUGCAGCGACGCUGGUUCACAAGCAGGCAGUCGAUGAGCCCAGAAGUCAGAACAAAAUAAACUGGAAAGAGGCAACAAAGAUGAUCGGGAAACCAAGUCCUGCAAUGCGACACUGAAGGAGCCUUGAGAAGAGAAGAUGCAGCAGCCAGAGGAGAGCCCCCUACAAGCGCCUUGGAGGCCGGCACAGAGAGGAAGCAAGGGAUUCCACUCAUCCCUGCAGGCAGGACACAGAACAACCAGUUUAAACCGCAGUCCACCAGCUUCAGGCUGGACCGCAGGAAAAGCUUCCUCCCCGUCAGAGCAAACGGCAGUGGACCCAGCGGCCCAGAGAGGCGGUGGGCUCUCCCACACUGGGGGCAGUCACGGAGCAACCGGGCGGCCGUCAGAGUGGGGUGGUGUGACGUGGUCUCCCGCAACAGCCGACGGCCUUCUGGCCCCUUCCCGCUCUCCUGCUCUGCGCUCCUCUGCAAAACAGCAGUGCAGGGCCAUGCCCAAGGCCUGCUCAGUCCAGCACCCAGCUGACCCGGUGGCAGGCCAGCGGCCCGCAGGACCCCUCGAGUGGGGUGGGCCCUCAGCAGCCGGCGGGCGCAGGCACGCUGCCCUGGUGAGGGCGGGGGCACACGGCCAGCAAGGCUGGUGGGCAUGGAGAGCCUGGACAGACGCAUGUUGGGGGGGGUCCCUCCUGUGUGACUGUUGUAGAAGUCCGGACGGUGAACCUGUCCAUGACCGCACACUGGGGCUGACAUAAGCUGCAGCGGGGUCAGGCUAGACGGCCUGGGAGGUGCCUUCUGACUCGCUCUGUUUCUGUGUCACAGGAACAGCCAUUCGCACUGCGCUGCGGAAGCUGCGCCAGGGCCUGGCUCUGGGUCAGGUGCUUCUUUCGGCCGGCAUCAGCCCUGCGGCUCCGAGGGCCCCGGUGAGCCAACCGGGCUGUGCAAGAGCUGCUAGAGAAGCACGUCGGAGGCCUUCCGCUCUGGCCCCUUGUCGGAAAGGGGCACUUGUGGCAUAAACGGGAGCGAUUCGAGGGUCCCUGGGCGGAGCCUGCUGUUCAGGCAGGACUGGGGCUGCAGCCCACCAUCACUCCGGGCUCCCUGAGCUUCCAGUGCAUGUGGCCGCUGCGGGCAGGAGACAGGCAGGCAACGGCUUCCGGAGCACACCUGCACGGAGCUGGCCGUGCAUCCCAGGAGAUGCGUGGCCUCCCCUUGGCCCCUUGCCAUGGAUCCGGCUGCCUGCCACUCCGUCCCCGAAGCACCGCAGCCCCGUCCUGAGUGCGGAUCCAGGAGAGGACCGCCAGGCCCUGCGGCGCCCCUCUUUUAGCACCGCCUGAAGCCAUCCAUGCCGGCGGAGAGGCCCCCCACCUCCUGGGAGCCAGUAGCAAGGGCCGGAGUGACCCACGCGGGCCGGCCUGCCGGUCCCUCGGAUGGUGCCGAACGGUGCGGAAGAGCAAGCCUGGGCAGGCCGUGGGGCCGUGUGUGCCGAGCCUCCGCCGCUUAACGGAGGAGGAAGCGGUGGGGUGCCCCUGCCGCUCAGCUGCUCUGGCCGCAGUCCCGGCUGCCCACGCCUGCUCGGCUCCUUGGCGUGGGCUGCAGUGUCAGCAGGGCCACCCCCGUUUCCUGUGUGAAAGCGCCAGGCUGGUCAGGAAGCCAAAGAGCCCCGGGGAAGCUCUCGGACGGCUCGCUUCUACUUCUGGUUCAGUUCCUGCGAUGAAUAAGUCGCAGGGCAGUGCUCUGGGAAGGAAAGGGAAACCAGCGGGUUUCUCCUGCGAUGCCGACGGAAUGUGACCCACGCGGCAGAUCUGCUGUGCAUCCGAAAAUGGUGGCUGGAAGAGGCCGUCUCCUUUCAUCCCGCUGCCAGGGCUGGAUGGGACACGUCUGCCGCCAGGGGCAGCCAGUGCUCGCUGCUCCGCAGAGGGAGGUGCUGGCAGUGCGGAGAGCCGGGCCCGUUCUGACGGGCCUUGGCCGGCCCUCAUCCGGCAUGCCCCCCGCAUUCACGGGGGCUGCCUGGCUUGGGGUGCAAGGACAUCUGGACGUGAACAUCCGGCAGCCAAGCUUGUGAGUUGUGCUGGCACAAAUGCGUACAAAUAGGGGAACCCCUGCGAGGAACCUCAGCGGCCGGUGAUACAGAAAUAGAGUCCACCGUCUUCGGCAACCGUCCUCCCCGGGUCCAGUCUCGGCUGCCUUGACAUUUUGGUCUCCUCUCUUCAAAUCGUCGUGCUAUUUUAACCCUUUCAGUUUAAACCAU
Long non-coding RNA from Varanus komodoensis (Komodo dragon), 2791 nucleotides. RefSeq lists it as uncharacterized. Lineage: Eukaryota; Metazoa; Chordata; Lepidosauria; Squamata; Varanidae. The record is from RefSeq and is a predicted model, not a curated record. The transcript has 3 exons.